CACUGAGUCCGUCUUUUGGGGUGCUUUUUGGUCACCCCCCCCGGAGGUGGCUCCCGGGUAUCUCUCCUUCUGGAUAAAGGUCCUGGACACCUGUCCUUCCAAGAGCCCGGCAUCUGUGCUGGAGAAGGGCAGCACAGAAUUCAUGCAGUUGCUACCCUCCAGGUGGUGGCUGCUCCCCGCCACCCCCUCAUGGGCCCUGCAUGCUACCUUCUCGCUCCCCAAAGCACCUGAUCAUCACCUGCUCCGGUGCACUCACACCCUGCAGUAGCUUCCAAAGAACCCAGUCCCAGCCAUCUGGUGUGGCCCUGCCCCAGCCUGCCCUCCUGACUCACUCCACUAAUGGGUUCUGGGAGACAGGAGCUACAGUGAGCAGUGAAGGAGGCCCUGGGUCGUGUCCAGAACAAGUGCUGUGUUUGAUCUCUAUCUCACACACGCAGAUCCAGAAGGGAGAUAGUGUGUGUGUGUGUGUAGUGUGUGUGCACUCAUUCAUUCCACAAAUAUUUACCUAGCCCCUUUGGCACUGUCCUAGAUGCUUGUGGGGGUGGGUAGGUGGGGACACAGCAGGAAUCUUGACCUUCCAUUGGAGGCCUGGACAGAUCUUCCGAAGACCCUCAUCAACUACUUGGAGAGGGAAGUUGUCCUUGUGGGGGGAGAGCUGCCCAGAGGAGACCCCAGUGCCAGGAGACCC
Long non-coding RNA from Ochotona princeps (American pika), 688 nucleotides. RefSeq lists it as uncharacterized. Lineage: Eukaryota; Metazoa; Chordata; Mammalia; Lagomorpha; Ochotonidae. The transcript is spliced from 3 exons. The record is from RefSeq and is a predicted model, not a curated record.